GCGGAGGGAAGCUCAUCGGUGGGGCCACGAGCUGAGUGCGUCUAGUCACUCCGUCCCAUGUCCCUUGGGAAGGUCUGAGACUAGGGCCAAUCAGCGGCCCUAACAGGGCCCUCCCUGAGCUUCGGGGAGGUGAGUUCCCAGAGAACGGGGCUCCGCGCGAGGGCAGACUGGGCAGGAGAUGCCACCGACCCCGCCCUUGCGGAGGGUCGUGGCGGAUGCCUCCCUAGCCGGAGCUUGGAACAGACUCACGGCCAGCGAAGUGAGUUCAAUGGCUGAGGUGAGGUACCCCGUGUGGGGGCCUCAUAACCCAAUUCAGACUACUCUCCCCCCCGU
This is a ribozyme of Physeter macrocephalus (sperm whale), 333 nucleotides long. It matches the Rfam family "Nuclear RNase P". Rfam says of the family: Ribonuclease P (RNase P) is a ubiquitous endoribonuclease, found in archaea, bacteria and eukarya as well as chloroplasts and mitochondria. Its best characterised activity is the generation of mature 5'-ends of tRNAs by cleaving the 5'-leader elements of precursor-tRNAs. Cellular RNase Ps are ribonucleoproteins. Lineage: Eukaryota; Metazoa; Chordata; Mammalia; Artiodactyla; Physeteridae. The record is from Ensembl.